RNAcentral lists this ribosomal RNA (440 nucleotides) under uncultured bacterium. Its description in RNAcentral is "partial 16S ribosomal RNA". It matches the Rfam family "Bacterial small subunit ribosomal RNA", at positions 338 to 795 of the family's 1533-position model. The record is from RNAcentral.
CCUACGGGUGGCAGCAGUGGGGAAUAUUGCACAAUGGGCGAAACCCUGAUGCAGCGACGCCGCGUGAGUGAAGAAGGAAUUCGUUAUGUAAAGCUCUAUCAGCAGGGAAGAAAAUGACGGUACCUGAGUAGGAAUCCACGGCUAACUACGUGCCAGCAGCCGCGGUACUACGUAGGGGGCAAGCGUUAUCCGGAUUUACUGGGUGUAAAGGGAGCGUAGACGGCAGUGCAAGUCUGGAGUGAAAGGCGGGGGCUCAACCCCCGGACUGCUCUGGAAACUGUACGGCUGGAGUGCAGGAGAGGUAAGUGGAAGUCCUAGUGUAGCGGUGAAAUGCGUAGAUAGUAGGAGGAACACCAGUGGCGAAGGCGGCUUACUGGACUGUAACUGACGUUGAGGCGCGAAAGCGUGGGGAGCAAACAGGAUUAGAUACCCCUGUAGUC